RNAcentral lists this transfer RNA (120 nucleotides) under marine sediment metagenome. RNAcentral's name for it is "tRNA-Ile". It matches the Rfam family "tRNA". From Rfam's summary of the family: Transfer RNA (tRNA) molecules are approximately 80 nucleotides in length. Their secondary structure includes four short double-helical elements and three loops (D, anti-codon, and T loops). The record is from RNAcentral.
GGGGCAGUAGCGAAGUCUGGUUUAUCGCCCCGGAUUUAUAAUCCGGUGAAGAACCAAGGUUACUGGUUAGGACGCUCUCAAAGAACCUUGGAAUCGCAGGUUCGAAUCCUGCCUGCCCCU